RNAcentral lists this non-coding RNA (31 nucleotides) under Rattus norvegicus (Norway rat). Lineage: Eukaryota; Metazoa; Chordata; Mammalia; Rodentia; Muridae. The record is from RNAcentral.
UGAGUGCAUCUCAUUAUGUACACAGACACCU